GAUGAACGCUAGCUACAGGCUUAACACAUGCAAGUCGCGGGGCAGCAUGGGGGUUGCUUGCAAUCCCUGAUGGCGACCGGCGCACGGGUGAGUAACGCGUAUCCAACCUGCCCGUCACCACGGGAUAACCCGUUGAAAGGCGGCCUAAUACCGUAUGGCGUCGUUUGAUGGCAUCAGAUUACGACUAAAGGUUCAGCGGUGACGGAUGGGGAUGCGUCCGAUUAGCUUGUUGGCGGGGUAACGGCCCACCAAGGCGACGAUGCGUAGCCGGCCUGAGAGGGCGGACGGCCACACUGGGACUGAGACACGGCCCAG
This 315-nucleotide ribosomal RNA is filed under the name uncultured bacterium. RNAcentral describes it as "bacterial SSU rRNA". It matches the Rfam family "Bacterial small subunit ribosomal RNA", at positions 28 to 334 of the family's 1533-position model. The record is from RNAcentral.